UCGACCAGAGCUGGCAGACAUGCCUUUGGACUUAUUACAACUCCCAGAAAGCCUGAGGGCAGAGAGGCUUCAAGCAAGCUCCUCCCCACGUGACACCUCUCCAAAGGCACAAGGCUCCGCAGGGACACAGCCAUUGAAAGGCAGGACCGAGACAGACCACAAAGGGAAGGAAGCCUUCUCAAACACUGCUGCCAGCCGACCAGAGAACACCAGAAAGAGAUCGCACCAGUCUAAUGCUGAAAGCGGUCCUCCUGAGGUGAGGAGGCGGAUGGAGGUUUUUCGGCAGAGAGAGGAAAGCCCAUGUACCUCCUCGGACCAAGCCAGUGACAGCGAGGUGGAAGAGGACGAUGAGAGGGAGAGCGAGUGGGACCACAACCCCUCCAGAAAACGGGUGAAGAGCGAAGACGGGCAGUUGAAGCAAGGCAACGGGGCCAAUGGAGCAAGUAAGAUCCACAACGGUCGUGCAGUGAUCCAGCAUCUUAAGAGUGUGGUGACCAGUUCCGGGUCGAAUAUUAAGACUGAACAAGAAGUAAUGGGAACAAGUGUAGGUGCAGGUUCUGGAAGGCGUUGGAGCCAAGCUCAACCCAGCAGUGGAGGGACCAAUGGCAGCAGUUCACCUUCCCAACCUCAAAACUCGACCUCGACAGAAGCUCCGUCCAAGGGCCUGUUCAACCCACCCUCCCCGACCCUGUCGCCAUCCAUUCUGGCCUCAUCCCUGCCCAGAGAUGAUCGGUCCAUGCACGGAGGGCGUGCUCCGGACUUCGAACUGCUGCAGAGACUCACUGCUAGUGGGGCUGCAGGACGUGUGCUGUUUCAUCCCCUGGCUAUAGGCCCACAGGGGCCUCAGAGUCUCUAUGCUCCCAGCACUAUUCGCUACGCCCCACCUGAGAUGCCUACAGCUCACGCUGAAGGGCACCGCUCAGACCAUGUGGCCAAAACUCCUACUUUCUUUCCCCACUUGCAAAGGAUCGCUUCUCUGCCUCCCUUCAGUGGAUUUUCUCCAGCUGAACCCACUUUUCCUCCAACUCUGCCCUUCUGUAUGAAUGGACUGAGGGGAAUGGCAGGGACAGAUGAGGAUUGA
Molecule: long non-coding RNA, 1081 nt
Filed under: Carassius auratus (goldfish)
Lineage: Eukaryota; Metazoa; Chordata; Actinopteri; Cypriniformes; Cyprinidae
Description: lncRNA (ENSCARG00000061191.1)
Source: RNAcentral